UAUGGCUCAGAGUGAACGCUGGCGGCAGGGGUAACACAUGCAAGUCGAACGGCAGCACAGAGGAGCUUGCUCCUUGGGUGGCGAGUGGCGGACGGGUGAGGAAUACGUCGGAAUCUGCCUAUUUGUGGGGGAUAACGUAGGGAAACUUACGCUAAUACCGCAUACGACCUACGGGUGAAAGCGGAGGACCUUCGGGCUUCGCGCAGAUAGAUGAGCCGACGUCGGAUUAGCUAGUUGGCGGGGUAAAGGCCCACCAAGGCGACGAUCCGUAGCUGGUCUGAGAGGAUGAUCAGCCACACUGGAACUGAGACACGGUCCAGACUCCUACGGGAGGCAGCAGUGGGGAAUAUUGGACAAUGGGCGCAAGCCUGAUCCAGCCAUGCCGCGUGUGUGAAGAAGGCCUUCGGGUUGUAAAGCACUUUUGUCCGGAAAGAAAAGCCUUGGGUUAAUACCCUGAGGUCAUGACGGUACCGGAAGAAUAAGCACCGGCUAACUUCGUGCCAGCAGCCGCGGUAAUACGAAGGGUGCAAGCGUUACUCGGAAUUACUGGGCGUAAAGCGUGCGUAGGUGGUUUGUUAAGUCUGAUGUGAAAGCCCUGGGCUCAACCUGGGAAUGGCAUUGGAAACUGGCUGACUAGAGUGCGGUAGAGGGUAGUGGAAUUCCCGGUGUAGCAGUGAAAUGCGUAGAUAUCGGGAGGAACAUCUGUGGCGAAGGCGACUACCUGGACCAGCACUGACACUGAGGCACGAAAGCGUGGGGAGCAAACAGGAUUA
This 773-nucleotide ribosomal RNA is filed under the name Lysobacter sp. RI17. Its description in RNAcentral is "bacterial SSU rRNA". It matches the Rfam family "Bacterial small subunit ribosomal RNA", at positions 18 to 780 of the family's 1533-position model. The record is from RNAcentral. Lineage: Bacteria; Pseudomonadati; Pseudomonadota; Gammaproteobacteria; Lysobacterales; Lysobacteraceae.